This 617-nucleotide ribosomal RNA is filed under the name uncultured bacterium. RNAcentral's name for it is "bacterial SSU rRNA". It matches the Rfam family "Bacterial small subunit ribosomal RNA", at positions 46 to 652 of the family's 1533-position model. The record is from RNAcentral.
GCCUACACAUGCAAGUCGAACGGUAACAGGAAGCAGCUUGCUGCUUCGCUGACGAGUGGCGGACGGGUGAGUAAUGUCUGGGAAACUGCCUGAUGGAGGGGGAUAACUACUGGAAACGGUAGCUAAUACCGCAUAACGUCGCAAGACCAAAGAGGGGGACCUUCGGGCCUCUUGCCAUCGGAUGUGCCCAGAUGGGAUUAGCUAGUAGGUGGGGUAACGGCUCACCUAGGCGACGAUCCCUAGCUGGUCUGAGAGGAUGACCAGCCACACUGGAACUGAGACACGGUCCAGACUCCUACGGGAGGCAGCAGUGGGGAAUAUUGCACAAUGGGCGCAAGCCUGAUGCAGCCAUGCCGCGUGUAUGAAGAAGGCCUUCGGGUUGUAAAGUACUUUCAGCGGGGAGGAAGGCGAUAAGGUUAAUAACCUUGUCGAUUGACGUUACCCGCAGAAGAAGCACCGGCUAACUCCGUGCCAGCAGCCGCGGUAAUACGGAGGGUGCAAGCGUUAAUCGGAAUUACUGGGCGUAAAGCGCACGCAGGCGGUCUGUCAAGUCGGAUGUGAAAUCCCCGGGCUCAACCUGGGGAACUGCAUUCGAAACUGGCAGGCUAGAGUCUUGU